Frankliniella occidentalis (western flower thrips) is the source of this 457-nucleotide long non-coding RNA. RefSeq lists it as uncharacterized. The record is from RefSeq and is a predicted model, not a curated record. The transcript is spliced from 3 exons. Lineage: Eukaryota; Metazoa; Arthropoda; Insecta; Thysanoptera; Thripidae.
GGUUUUGAGGGCUGAGAUGAGGCACGAGUUUUCAUCAUACCUCACAGGCGCCAUCACAUUAUAUUUAAGAUUGAAACAGCAAGACAGAUGGAUAUGUUUCGUUGGGGACUUGUGGAGUUUCCUCGACACCGCCCAAGAGCUAAACCUCAGCUCUUUCCAAGUCACAAUGUUUUGGAAGAAUGCGUUUAUUCGUAUAACGAUACUGAUGAUCACCACAGCGUGGGAGUGGGUGCAAAGCUCGAGUUCUUCUUACACGUGUGAGAUAACGACAAGCGCGGGCAUUACAGAUACCCUGACGUCACAGAUCGCUCGCAAGGACCGGAAGCAGUGCCAAUUUCAGACUCACCUCGGAGCACCUCCUGCAGACCGACUUCCUCGCAGAACGCGUCCUGGUCCAGCCCCGCGCCCAAGAGGGUGCUGCGGGCGCUGGGAUUCGCGUCCAGUAGGAUCAGGCGCU